UGUAAAUGCAGAUACAAAGUUUAUUAUUAGAGAUAUAGCAUAACAGCAAGUGGGAGAGCACACAGAGAAAUGGUUUGUUUAGUUUGAAGACAGGCAGAGACGCACACCCAGAGAGAAAGGCUGUGGGUGUCCUCCCUAGUGAGGAGGAAUGCAGUAAAGAGGUUAUAUAGCUCAGUUCUGGGUCUUUGUUUCCAUUCAGGCCAAUUAUGUGGUUUCUUUUUCCUCACCUGACCUACUUGGGACCCUCCCCUGGGCGCACAGGCACCCCUCAGCCAAGAUGGAUCUUGAAGUGACGGCUUCUGAGAGGAGCAAGACUCAUUAUGGCCUGGUGUUAUCCUCUGCCUUUUGGCCCACAAAGAACCUUUCUGCACAUCUGUAGUGUCUCCCUUGUCCCAAAAGAGGGGGCAGGGAGAUCCCUUAAUCCUUUACUGAAACAGGGUUUUUUGCUCCUCUUUGUCCUUGCCAUGACUAUUACCUUCAGGUGCUUACAAGAGAGAAACACUGGCUUAUUUACCCUGUUUAUGCUGUUACCUGCGUUUCAGAGGGCAAUCAGAAGUCUGAUUGAAAAUGUCUUAACUGGAGCCCACCCAUCUCUAGUCUCAGAAAAUGCUAACAGUUCUAAAUACCCAGCCUGAAGCCUACUUCUUGGUGCCCCAUGAAAUGCAAACAGGAGGCCAGCUGUAAAUAUCUAACCUGGAGCCUAUCUAUCGCCUACAUCACAACUCUCACAUCCAUACAUGACUUCUAGAAAAACCAUAGUUUUGACUAUACAGAGUUUUGUCAGCCAAGUUAUGUCUCUGCUUUUUAGAAUGCUGUCUAGAUUUGUCAUAGCUUUUCCCAAGGGGCAAGCAUCACUGCUGCAGUGAUUUGGGAGCCCAAGAAAAUAAAAUCUGCCACGGUUUCCAUUCUUUCCCCAUCUGUUUGUCAUGAAAUGAUGGGACCAGAUGCCAUGAUCUUAGUUUUCUAAAUGUUGAGUUUUAAAGCCAGCUUUUUCACUCUCCUCUUUCACCCUCAUCAAGAGGCUCUUUAGUUUCUCUUCACUUUCUGCCAUUAGGAGCCAGGAUACAUAGGAGUUUUUGCUGCAAAAAAAAAUGUAGUCAAACAUCAGAAGAUAACUGCUAGUCACAAAAAACAAAUCUCUCAAGUUAAUGAUUUUAGUGUGUGGGAAGAGGCAAGAGUCUGGGCUCACUGACCUUUGAUAUGCAUCUUAAUUAUCUAGGGCCAGUAUCUUGUUUCUCUCCAUCCUGAAUGCCCCUCAGGGUGCACAUGGAGGGCAGCUGCAGUGGCUGAUGGCUUGAUGGUGGGCAAGAAUUUUUUUUGUUGUUCACUUGGUGAAGGAAAAUACAGCAGGUUCUAAGCAAGGGAGUGGGAGACAAGCCUCAGAUCUUCUUCACCUUAGUCUCUGAGUUAGGGUUUUUAAAGAGGAAGAAUGAAGAGGCUGGGAUUAAUCAUUGUCUUGCGACAUUCGUUAAUUGUUGUUUCAGGAGCCAAAGUAUCUCCGAUUAUGAUUCUUCAACCAGAUGGUCCCAUAGUUGGUGGGGGGGGUGGGGGGGACGUCUGUUAGUUCAACUUGCCCUGGAGAA
Molecule: long non-coding RNA, 1583 nt
Organism: Bos taurus (domestic cattle)
Lineage: Eukaryota; Metazoa; Chordata; Mammalia; Artiodactyla; Bovidae
Source: Ensembl